RNAcentral lists this ribosomal RNA (510 nucleotides) under uncultured bacterium. RNAcentral's name for it is "partial 16S ribosomal RNA". It matches the Rfam family "Bacterial small subunit ribosomal RNA", at positions 28 to 507 of the family's 1533-position model. The record is from RNAcentral.
GACGAACGCUGGCGGCGUGCUUAACACAUGCAAGUCGAACGAAGAGCGACGGAAGCUUGCUUCUAUCAAUCUUAGUGGCGAACGGGUGAGUAACGCGUAAUCAACCUGCCCUUCAGAGGGGGACAACAGUUGGAAACGACUGCUAAUACCGCAUACGAUCUAACCUCGGCAUCGAGGAUAGAUGAAAGGUGGCCUCUACAUGUAAGCUAUCACUGAAGGUGGGGAUUGCGUCUGAUUAGCUAGUUGGAGGGGUAACGGCCCACCAAGGCGAUGAUCAGUAGCCGGUCUGAGAGGAUGAACGGCCACAUUGGGACUGAGACACGGCCCAGACUCCGACGGGAGGAAGCAGUGGGGAAUCUUCCGCAAUGGACGAGAGUCUGACGGAGCAACGCCGCGGGAGUGAUGACGGCCUUCGGGUUGUAAAGCUCUGUUAAUCGGGACGAAAGGCCUUCUUGCGAAUAGUGAGAAGGAUUGACGGUACCGGAAUAGAAAGCCACGGCUAACUACGUG